RNAcentral lists this ribosomal RNA (1299 nucleotides) under uncultured bacterium. RNAcentral describes it as "bacterial SSU rRNA". It matches the Rfam family "Bacterial small subunit ribosomal RNA", at positions 94 to 1380 of the family's 1533-position model. The record is from RNAcentral.
AGUGGCGAACGGGUGAGUAACACGUAGGAAUCUACCCUUAAGACGGGGACAACCCAGGGAAACUUGGGCUAAUACCGGAUGAGAGUGCGAGAGAUUGCAUUUAAAAGGAUGGCGAAAGUUGUCGCUUAGGGAUGAGCCUGCGGUCUAUUAGUUAGUUGGUGAGGUAAGAGCUCACCAAGGCGAUGAUAGAUAGGCGGCCUUAACGGGUGGUCGCCCACACUGGGAUUGAGAUACGGCCCAGACUCCUACGGGAGGCAGCAGUCGAGAAUAGUCUACAAUGGCCGGAAGGCUGAUAGUGCGACGCCGCGUGAACGAGGGAGCCCUUCGGGGUGUAAAGUUCUUUUCUAUACGAGCAGUGCUAUAUAUAUGGAUAGUAUAUAUAGAGGGAUAGUAGUAUAGGAAUAAGCAACGGCUAACUCCGUGCCAGCAGCCGCGGUAACACGGGGGUUGCGAGCGUUGUCCGGAAUUACUAGGCGUAAAGGGCAGGUAGGCGGAUCUACGAGUUUUUUGUUAAAGGCUACGGCUCAACUGUAGUAGAGCAGGAGAUACUGUAGGUCUGGAAUGCGGUAGGGGAAGACAGAAUUCCUGGUGUAGCGGUGGAAUGCGCAGAGAUCAGGAGGAAUACCGAAGGCGAAGGCAGUCUUCUAGGCCGUAAUUGACGCUUAACUGCGAAGGUGUGGGAUCAAACAGGAUUAGAUACCCUGGUAGUCCACACAGUAAACGAUAAUCACUAGAUGUCGGGUUCUAGAUGGAUUCGGUGUCGGACUAACGCGAUAAGUGAUUCGCCUGGGGAGUACGAUCGCAAGGUUGAAACUCAAAGGAAUUGACGGGGGCCCGCACGAGCGGUGGAGCAUGUGGUUUAAUUCGAGGCAACGCGAAGAACCUUACCCGGUUUUGACAUCCACGGGAGGCUUCAGAGAUGGAGCUGUGCCGGCGUAAGCUGGAGCCGUGAGACAGGUGCUGCAUGGCUGUCGUCAGCUCGUGUCGUGAGAUGUUGGGUUAAGUCCCGCAACGAGCGCAACCCUUGCCUUCAGUUACCAUCAUUAAGUUGGGGACUCUGGAGGGACCGCUGCGGUAACAACGCAGAGGAAGAUGGGGACGACGUCAAGUCAUCAUGGUCCUUAUGGCCGGGGCUACACACGUGCUACAAUGGCAGUUACAGAGGGAUGCGAUUCAGUAAUGAGGAGCGAAACUCAGAAAACUGCCGCAGUUCGGAUUGAGGUCUGCAACUCGGCCUCAUGAAGUCGGAAUCGCUAGUAAUCGCGCAACAUCAUGGCGCGGUGAAUACGUUCCCGGGCC